This 761-nucleotide ribosomal RNA is filed under the name Phyllosticta spinarum. Its description in RNAcentral is "eukaryotic LSU rRNA". It matches the Rfam family "Eukaryotic large subunit ribosomal RNA", at positions 87 to 866 of the family's 3401-position model. RNAcentral also lists the same sequence under 1 other name. The record is from RNAcentral. Lineage: Eukaryota; Fungi; Ascomycota; Dothideomycetes; Botryosphaeriales; Phyllostictaceae.
CGGCGAGUGAAGCGGCAAUAGCUCAAAUUUGAAAGCUGGCGCCUUCGGCGUCCGCGUUGUAAUUUGUAGAGGAUGCUUCGGCGAGGACUCCUGCCUAAGUUCCCUGGAAUGGGACGUCACAGAGGGUGAGAAUCCCGUAUGUGGCGGGCGGUCCAAGCCAUGUGAAGCUCCUUCGACGAGUCGAGUUGUUUGGGAAUGCAGCUCUAAAUGGGAGGUAAAUUUCUUCUAAAGCUAAAUACCGGCCAGAGACCGAUAGCGCACAAGUAGAGUGAUCGAAAGAUGAAAAGCACUUUGGAAAGAGAGUUAAAAAGUACGUGAAAUUGUUGAAAGGGAAGCGCUUGCAACCAGACUCGCUCGCAGUUGCUCAGCCCGCCUCCUGGCGGGUGUACUCUUCUGCGAUCGGGCCAGCAUCAGUUCGGGCGGCCGGAUAAAGGUGUCGGGAAUGUAGCACCCUUCGGGGUGUGUUAUAGCCCGGCGCGGAAUGCGGCCAGCCUGGACUGAGGAUCUCGCUUCGGCAAGGAUGCUGGCGUAAUGGUUGUAAGCGGCCCGUCUUGAAACACGGACCAAGGAGUCUAACAUCUAUGCGAGUGUUUGGGUGUCAAACCCAUGCGCGUAAUGAAAGUGAACGGAGGUGGGAACCCGCAAGGGUGCACCAUCGACCGAUCCUGAUGUCUUCGGAUGGAUUUGAGUAAGAGCAUAGCUGUUGGGACCCGAAAGAUGGUGAACUAUGCCUGAAUAGGGUGAAGCCAGAGGAAACUCUG